UAACAGCUCAAAUUUGAAAUCUGGCUCCGUCGGAGUCCGAGUUGUAAUUUGGAGAAGAUGCUUUGGGUUGUGGGUUCGGCCUAAGUUCCUUGGAACAGGACGUCAUAGAGGGUGAGAAUCCCGUAUGUGGCCGAGGCCUGCGCCCGUGUAAAGCUCUUUCGACGAGUCGAGUUGUUUGGGAAUGCAGCUCAAAAUGGGUGGUAAAUUUCAUCUAAAGCUAAAUAUGGACCAGAGACCGAUAGCGAACAAGUAGAGUGAUCGAAAGAUGAAAAGCACUUUGGAAAGAGAGUUAAACAGUACGUGAAAUUGUUGAAAGGGAAGCGCUUGCAACCAGACUUGGGCGCUGCUGAUCAUCCAGAGUUCUCUCUGGUGCACUCGACAGCGCACAGGCCAGCAUCGGUUCGGAUGGCUGGAGAAAGACCGGAGGAACGUAGCUCCCUCUCGGGGGAGUGUUAUAGCCUCUGGUGCCAUACAGCCCAGCCGGACCGAGGACCGCGCCUUCGGGCUAGGAUGCUGGCGUAAUGGUUGUAAGCGACCCG
This 539-nucleotide ribosomal RNA is filed under the name Erysiphe mori. Its description in RNAcentral is "eukaryotic LSU rRNA". It matches the Rfam family "Eukaryotic large subunit ribosomal RNA", at positions 102 to 651 of the family's 3401-position model. Lineage: Eukaryota; Fungi; Ascomycota; Leotiomycetes; Helotiales; Erysiphaceae. The record is from RNAcentral.